CGGAGGGUGCAAGCGUUAUCCGGAUUCACGUGGGUUUAAAGGGUGCGUAGGUGGGUUGGUAAGUCAGUGGUGAAAUCCCCGAGCUUAACUUGGGAACUGCCAUUGAUACUAUCAGUCUUGAAUACCGUGGAGGUCAGCGGAAUAUGUCAUGUAGCGGUGAAAUGCUUAGAUAUGACAUAGAACACCAAUUGCGAAGGCAGCUGGCUACACGAAUAUUGACACUGAGGCACGAAAGCGUGGGGAUCAAACAGGAUUAGAUACCCUGGUAGUCCACGCCCUAAACUAUGGAUACUCGACAUACGCGAUACACUGUGUGUGUCUGAGCGUAAGCAUUAAGUAUCCCACCUGGGAAGUACGAUCGCAAGAUUG
Molecule: ribosomal RNA, 369 nt
Filed under: uncultured organism
Description: bacterial SSU rRNA
Rfam family: Bacterial small subunit ribosomal RNA
Source: RNAcentral